UACGUAGGGCGCAAGCGUUUAUCCGGAAUUAUUGGGCGUAAAGAGCUCGUAGGCGGUUUGUCGCGUCUGCCGUGAAAGUCCGGGGCUCAACUCCGGAUCUGCGGUGGGUACGGGCAGACUAGAGUGAUGUAGGGGAGACUGGAAUUCCUGGUGUAGCGGUGAAAUGCGCAGAUAUCAGGAGGAACACCGAUGGCGAAGGCAGGUCUCUGGGCAUUAACUGACGCUGAGGAGCGAAAGCGUGGGGAGCAAACAGG
This 254-nucleotide ribosomal RNA is filed under the name uncultured bacterium. RNAcentral's name for it is "partial 16S ribosomal RNA". It matches the Rfam family "Bacterial small subunit ribosomal RNA", at positions 524 to 776 of the family's 1533-position model. The record is from RNAcentral.